RNAcentral lists this small RNA (300 nucleotides) under Histoplasma ohiense. Its description in RNAcentral is "hypothetical lncRNA". Lineage: Eukaryota; Fungi; Ascomycota; Eurotiomycetes; Onygenales; Ajellomycetaceae. The record is from RNAcentral.
GGCACGACGGUGAUAUUUUGCACAGCGGUGCUUGCAUAGGGGGCGGGUAGGCCGGAGAAUGAACAAUGAGCAGUUACGUGAGACUUUUUUUCGGGAUUGCGCAUCGCAGACCACACCAGCAAGAACACAUUUCGAUAGAUAAAGAGUACUGCGUGUCCCUCCUUCGAAACUGGCACACAUUCUACUCUUUGCUGUUGUUCACGGGAUAGUUACCUCAUUCCAGUGUCCGAUGUUGGAAAUAUACCGCCUGUAUGGAUGAUGGCAAACGAAGAGAACCGCCGAUAAGUUAAGGAAAUGCAG